CCUACGGGGGGCUGCAGUGGGGAAUUUUGGACAAUGGGGGCAACCCUGAUCCAGCCAUGCCGCGUGCGGGAAGAAGGCCUUCGGGUUGUAAACCGCUUUUGUCGGGGAAGAAAUCCUCUGGGCUAAUACCCCGGGGGGAUGACGGUACCCGGAGAAUAAGCACCGGCUAACUACGUGCCAGCAGCCGCGGUGAUACGUAGGGUGCAAGCGUUAAUCGGAAUUUGUGCGGGUGAAUGUGGAAGAGGCGGGUGAAAUCCCCGGGCUCAACCUGGGAACGGCAUUUGUGACUGCAUAGCUGGAGUGCGGCAGAGGGGGAUGGAAUUCCGCGUGUAGCAGUGAAAUGCGUAGAUAUGCGGAGGAACACCGAUGGCGAAGGCAAUCCCCUGGGCCUGCACUGACGCUCAUGCACGAAAGCGUGGGGAGCAAACAGGAUUAGAUACCCCAGUAGUC
RNAcentral lists this ribosomal RNA (450 nucleotides) under uncultured bacterium. RNAcentral describes it as "partial 16S ribosomal RNA". It matches the Rfam family "Bacterial small subunit ribosomal RNA", at positions 338 to 795 of the family's 1533-position model. The record is from RNAcentral.